RNAcentral lists this ribosomal RNA (1343 nucleotides) under uncultured bacterium. RNAcentral's name for it is "16S ribosomal RNA". It matches the Rfam family "Bacterial small subunit ribosomal RNA", at positions 28 to 1378 of the family's 1533-position model. The record is from RNAcentral.
GACGAACGCUGGCGGCGUGCUUAACACAUGCAAGUCGAACGGAAAGGCCCUGCUUUUGUGGGGUGCUCGAGUGGCGAACGGGUGAGUAACACGUGAGUAACCUGCCCUUGACUUUGGGAUAACUUCAGGAAACUGGGGCUAAUACCGGAUAGGAGCUCCUGCUGCAUGGUGGGGGUUGGAAAGUUUCGGCGGUUGGGGAUGGACUCGCGGCUUAUCAGCUUGUUGGUGGGGUAGUGGCUUACCAAGGCUUUGACGGGUAGCCGGCCUGAGAGGGUGACCGGCCACAUUGGGACUGAGAUACGGCCCAGACCCCUACGGGAGGCAGCAGUGGGGAAUAUUGCACAAUGGGCGGAAGCCUGAUGCAGCAACGCCGCGUGCGGGAUGACGGCCUUCGGGUUGUAAACCGCUUUCGCCUGUGACGAAGCGUGAGUGACGGUAAUGGGUAAAGAAGCACCGGCUAACUACGUGCCAGCAGCCGCGGUGAUACGUAGGGUGCGAGCGUUGUCCGGAUUUAUUGGGCGUAAAGGGCUCGUAGGUGGUUGAUCGCGUCGGAAGUGUAAUCUUGGGGCUUAACCCUGAGCGUGCUUUCGAUACGGGUUGACUUGAGGAAGGUAGGGGAGAAUGGAAUUCCUGGUGGAGCGGUGGAAUGCGCAGGUAUCAGGAGGAACACCAGUGGCGAAGGCGGUUCUCUGGGCCUUUCCUGACGCUGAGGAGCGAAAGCGUGGGGAGCGAACAGGCUUAGAUACCCUGGUAGUCCACGCUGUAAACGGUGGGUACUAGGUGUGGGGUCCAUUCCACGGGUUCCGUGCCGUAGCUAACGCUUUAAGUACCCCGCCUGGGGAGUACGGCCGCAAGGCUAAAACUCAAAGGAAUUGACGGGGCCCCGCACAAGCGGCGGAGCAUGCGGAUUAAUUCGAUGCAACGCGUAGAACCUUACCUGGGUUUGACAUGGAUCGGGAGUGCUCAGAGAUGGGUGUGCCUCUUUUGGGGUCGGUUCACAGGUGGUGCAUGGCUGUCGUCAGCUCGUGUCGUGAGAUGUUGGGUUAAGUCCCGCAACGAGCGCAACCCUUGUUCACUGUUGCCAGCACGUUAUGGUGGGGACUCAGUGGAGACCGCCGGGGUCAACUCGGAGGAAGGUGGGGAUGACGUCAAGUCAUCAUGCCCCUUAUGUCCAGGGCUUCACGCAUGCUACAAUGGCUGGUACAGAGAGUGGCGAGCCUGUGAGGGUGAGCGAAUCUCGGAAAGCCGGUCUCAGUUCGGAUUGGGGUCUGCAACUCGACCUCAUGAAGUCGGAGUCGCUAGUAAUCGCAGAUCAGCAACGCUGCGGUGAAUACGUUCCCGGG